Molecule: ribosomal RNA, 1020 nt
Filed under: Acinetobacter sp.
Lineage: Bacteria; Pseudomonadati; Pseudomonadota; Gammaproteobacteria; Moraxellales; Moraxellaceae
Description: bacterial SSU rRNA
Rfam family: Bacterial small subunit ribosomal RNA
Source: RNAcentral
GCUCAGAUGACGCUGCGGCAGGCUACACAUACAAGUCGAGCGGGGAAAGUAGCUUGCUACUGACCUAGCGCGGACGGGUGAGUAAUGCUUAGGAAUCUGCCUAUUAGUGGGGACAACAUCUCGAAAGGAUGCUAAUACCGCAUACGUCCUACGGGAGAAAGCAGGGGACUUCGGGCCUUGCGCUAAUAGAUGAGCCUAAGUCGGAUUAGCUAGUUGGUGGGGUAAAGGCCUACCAAGGCGACGAUCUGUAGCGGGUCUGAGAGGAUGAUCCGCCACACUGGGACUGAGACACGGCCCAGACUCCUACGGGAGGCAGCAGUGGGGAAUAUUGGACAAUGGGGGGAACCCUGAUCCAGCCAUGCCGCGUGUGUGAAGAAGGCCUUUUGGUUGUAAAGCACUUUAAGCGAGGAGGAGGCUACCGAGAUUAAUACUCUUGGAUAGUGGACGUUACUCGCAGAAUAAGCACCGGCUAACUCUGUGCCAGCAGCCGCGGUAAUACAGAGGGUGCAAGCGUUAAUCGGAUUUACUGGGCGUAAAGCGCGCGUAGGUGGCCAAUUAAGUCAAAUGUGAAAUCCCCGAGCUUAACUUGGGAAUUGCAUUCGAUACUGGUUGGCUAGAGUAUGGGAGAGGAUGGUAGAAUUCCAGGUGUAGCGGUGAAAUGCGUAGAGAUCUGGAGGAAUACCGAUGGCGAAGGCAGCCAUCUGGCCUAAUACUGACACUGAGGUGCGAAAGCAUGGGGAGCAAACAGGAUUAGAUACCCUGGUAGUCCAUGCCGUAAACGAUGUCUACUAGCCGUUGGGGCCUUUGAGGCUUUAGUGGCGCAGCUAACGCGAUAAGUAGACCGCCUGGGGAGUACGGUCGCAAGACUAAAACUCAAAUGAAUUGACGGGGGCCCGCACAAGCGGUGGAGCAUGUGGUUUAAUUCGAUGCAACGCGAAGAACCUUACCUGGUCUUGACAUAGUAAGAACUUUCCAGAGAUGGAUUGGUGCCUUCGGGAACUUACAUACAGGUGCUGCAUG